AUAGUGGAUCUGCGGGUUAGAGGAAAUAGGCUGCAGGGCGGAGACCGAGCCUUGGCGAACUGCGCUGCCGUAGCCAUUCCGCCCUAGCCUCUGCCGUGCUCCGCGGCGAUUCCGUCCAGACCGGAACCAGCGUGCGUCUGGCUCUCCUCCGCCGCUCUGGGACACCUCAUUCUGUCUGACGCUCAAGACCUGGCUUCGACGUUUAUGGCCCUAUGUCCCUCGACUACGGGUUGCCUGCCUGUCUGCAUCGUUUCAAGUUCCCUUAUUCAGCCUUUUAAGGAUUCAUAGUGGAUUUGGAAAGCCCCCUCUCUUCUCCGCCAGCUGCCCCGAGAGGUGGGGGCAGCAGUGGGGCGGCACACAGUGCUGCUGUAGGAGGAGGAGGAGUUUCAGCCUGAGUCAACAACAUAUGCAAAAAUCACAACGAAUGAGAGGCGUGAGGUUUUCGGUGUAGCAGACAUUUAAUUCUUAUUUGCCAACUCCUGAGCUAGGACCUGGGAACACAAAGUUAAAUAGGACACGAUUCUAGUCCUCUAGGCACCAACGGUCUUGGAAAGGAAGGCAGACAAGUAAACUGGCCAUUUCAAUACUACGUGGUCGUUACAAUGCUAGAGGUAGGCACAGGGGGCGCAGUGCAAGGGAGGAAGGGCGUUAACAUCUGCCACCUACUUCCAGGUGCCAAGCACUGUUAUCAACAUUAUUCCACUUUAUUCCCUGGUGAUUAUGAAAGGCAGGUAUUGAUAUUCACACUUAACAGACGAGGAAACAGCCUCAGGGAGAUAAGCUUACUUGACCCAGUCUCUCUCCUAGUCCAUAUCAGAACCAAGAUUCAAACAGGUUUUGUUUAGAAAAUCUAGGAUUUUUCAGCCAUACCAAAAUAAAGUAGCCUCAGGGAAUCAAAACAUUCACGAAAGAAGGUGACUUCUGAACUGAGUCUUGCAAGAAUUCUGGAAAUUAACCUGGCAGUUGUAUCAGGGGUGGUAAGGGGACGGAACAGCUUGAGCAAGAGUGAGAGUUCCUUGGGGUUUGGGGAGGGAGGAGGAAAAAUGAUUUUUUACUUAAGAACAAAUAGCAAGGAAGGUUUGUGAGCUAUGAUUGGGGGCUGGAGGGGAAAGCCUGAAUUCUAUCCAGUAAUCCUUGAAGGGUUUUCAUCCAAGUGGCCUGAUGGGAUUUGCAUUUUACUCUGGAAGAUGACUUGGGGAUUGGCAGGAAGUAAGGACACUUUUUUUCAAGAGAAUAUAGCCCUAAACUAAGGUAGUAGCAGUGGGGAUAUAAGUGGAUAAGUUCUAGAUAUACUUGGGAAAUAUAAUUGGAAGGACUUGUGGACUGAUAAAGAUAUAUUUAAGAUGUGCAGUCAGUAGGACUUGUUGAUUGAGGACUUGUUGAUUGAAGGUGGGGUGAAAAGAUGACACAGGUUUCUGGCUUGGUUGGAAAAAGCAUAGCAUCAUUUACCAAGAAGAAACGAGAUGGAAUUGUUUGGGGUUGGGAAGGUGGACGAUGAAAUGUUGAGUAUCACGCAUCUUACAUUUGAGGUAUCAAUCAUUAUUGGAUAGAAAGUCUUAUUUAGUGAGAUGGUAAUGGUUGUAGAUGUCAGUGAUUUGUUCCAGGGGACAAUGAGUAAACUGAGAAGAGCAAAAAUCUACAAAUGGAGCAAUGAAGGUCAGCAUUCCAUGAAGAAGCAGAAAUUGAUGAGAGAGGAAGACAAGAGUAGUCAGAGAAGUUAAGACCUGGAAGCUAAGUAAGGAGAGGGAGUGGGCAACUAUGAUGGAAAGGCCAUAAAGCAAAGAUUGAGAAGUAUGCACUGGAGGCCAUUGUUUCUGGAUGUCAGGGUAGGAAAGAGUAAACGGUGACAGUAGAGGUCUCCUUGCAGUGAAUUGGGGAAUGAAUAUCAAGUGAAAUAGUGCACAGAGUCUGUAUACAACCCUUUGGAAAAGCCUGAUUGAAAAGAGAAAGAUGAGAUGCGGAGGGAGAGGCAUUCAAAAAAUGCUAGUUACAGCAUCUUAUUGAGGAAUCUAAGGCAGGAGUAGGGAGACCUGAGUAUGAUGGAGCAUGGUAGGGUUGGGAGUCAAGUCAAGCUCACAGCAUUUCAGGGUUAGGGA
This 2096-nucleotide long non-coding RNA is filed under the name Homo sapiens (human). Its description in RNAcentral is "non-protein coding lnc-ILK-9:2". Lineage: Eukaryota; Metazoa; Chordata; Mammalia; Primates; Hominidae. The record is from RNAcentral.